Molecule: ribosomal RNA, 465 nt
Filed under: uncultured bacterium
Lineage: Bacteria
Description: partial 16S ribosomal RNA
Rfam family: Bacterial small subunit ribosomal RNA
Source: RNAcentral
CUACGGGGGGCUGCAGUGGGGAAUAUUGCACAAUGGGCGCAAGCCUGAUGCAGCCAUGCCGCGUGUAUGAAGAAGGCCUUCGGGUUGUAAAGUACUUUCAGCGGGGAGGAAGGGAGUAAAGUUAAUACCUUUGCUCAUUGACGUUACCCGCAGAAGAAGCACCGGCUAACUCCGUGCCAGGCAGCCGCGGUAAUACGGAGGGUGCAAGCGUUAAUCGGAAUUACUGGGCGUAAAGCGCACGCAGGCGGUUUGUUAAGUCAGAUGUGAAAUCCCCGGGCUCAACCUGGGAACUGCAUCUGAUACUGGGAAGCUUGAGUCUCGUAGAGGGGGGUAGAAUUCCAGGUGUAGCGGUGAAAUGCGUAGAGAUCUGGAGGAAUACCGGUGGCGAAGGCGGCCCCCUGGACGAAGACUGACGCUCAGGUGCGAAAGCGUGGGGAGCAAACAGGAUUAGAUACCCCGGUAGUC